RNAcentral lists this ribosomal RNA (305 nucleotides) under uncultured bacterium. RNAcentral describes it as "bacterial SSU rRNA". It matches the Rfam family "Bacterial small subunit ribosomal RNA", at positions 338 to 640 of the family's 1533-position model. The record is from RNAcentral.
CCUACGGGAGGCAGCAGUGAGGAAUAUUGGUCAAUGGGCGCGAGCCUGAACCAGCCAAGUCGCGUGAGGGAGGACGGCCCUACGGGUUGUAAACCUCUUUUGCCGGGGAGCAACGGGCGUCACGUGUGGCGCCACUGAGAGUACCCGGAGAAAAAGCAUCGGCUAACUCCGUGCCAGCAGCCGCGGUAAUACGGAGGAUGCGAGCGUUAUCCGGAUUUAUUGGGUUUAAAGGGUGCGUAGGCGGUCCGGAAAGUCAGCGGUAAAAGCCCGGGGCUCAACCCCGGCGAGCCGUUGAAACUGUCGGA